RNAcentral lists this ribosomal RNA (251 nucleotides) under uncultured bacterium. Its description in RNAcentral is "partial 16S ribosomal RNA". It matches the Rfam family "Bacterial small subunit ribosomal RNA", at positions 60 to 339 of the family's 1533-position model. The record is from RNAcentral.
AGUCGAACGAUCCCUUCGGGGAUAGUGGCAGACGGGUGAGUAACGCGUGGGAAUCUACCCAAUUCUACGGAAUAGCCUCGGGAAACUGGGAUUAAUACCGUAUACGCCCUUCGGGGGAAAGAUUUAUCGGAGUUGGAUGAGCCCGCGUUAGAUUAGUUUGUUGGUGGGGUAAUGGCCUACCAAGACUACGAUCUAUAGUUGGUCUGAGAGGAUGAUCAGCCACACUGGGACUGAGACACGGCCCAGACUCC